RNAcentral lists this ribosomal RNA (460 nucleotides) under uncultured bacterium. RNAcentral describes it as "partial 16S ribosomal RNA". It matches the Rfam family "Bacterial small subunit ribosomal RNA", at positions 338 to 795 of the family's 1533-position model. The record is from RNAcentral.
CCUACGAGAGGCAGCAGUGAGGAAUAUUGGUCAAUGGGCGCGAGCCUGAACCAGCCAAGUAGCGUGAAGGAUGACUGCCCUACGGGUUGUAAACUUCUGUUAUAAAGGAAUCAAGUGAGGCACGUGUGCCUGUUUGUAUGUACUUUAUGAAUAAGGAUCGGCUAACGCCUUGCAAGCAGACUCGGUAAUACGGAGGAUCCGAACGUUAUCCGGAUUUAUUGGGUUUAAAGGGAGAGUAGAUGGGUUGUUAAGUUAGUUGGGAAAGUUUGCGGCUCAACCGUAAAAUUGAAAGUGAAAGUGGCAGCUUUGAGUACAGUUGAGGUAGGCGGAAUUCGUGGUGUAGCGGUGAAAUGCUUAGAUAUCACGAAGAACUCCGAUUGCGAAGGCAGCCUACUAAACUGCCACUGACAUUGAUGCUCGAAAGUGUGGGUAUCAAACAGGAUUAGAUACCCUUGUAGUC